Molecule: long non-coding RNA, 228 nt
Filed under: Panax ginseng (ginseng)
Lineage: Eukaryota; Viridiplantae; Streptophyta; Magnoliopsida; Apiales; Araliaceae
Description: long non-coding RNA (PGIN_LNC001778)
Source: RNAcentral
UAAGAUGCAACGGCAGACCUAUGCUUGGGCAACAUAGGCGUGCGUAUGCUGAGAAUUUUUUUUAUAGGUAUAUGGUAGGGACAGAUAUAUAAUUUAUUAAACUUAAAGGGGGCAGAUUAAUGGAAGAGUUAUACUUAAAGAAGACAAAAAAAUAUUUUACUCUUAAUUUUAAAAUUUAAAUGAAUCUGUUUUGCAGCUUUCAUUUGAGCUGCAAAUAUGUUAAUCUAC